This is an RNA transcript of Dermacentor silvarum, 6350 nucleotides long. It is a transcript of the gene named retinoblastoma-like protein 1, with no coding region annotated. The transcript has 16 exons. NCBI's taxonomy places the organism in Eukaryota, Metazoa, Arthropoda, Arachnida, Ixodida, Ixodidae. The record is from RefSeq and is a predicted model, not a curated record.
GGCUCGCCGGAAUCGUUAGUUUCCGCGGCUGAAAGAAGUUGCGACGUGCAUUGUCCGUCGGAGUGGGAAGCUUUAAAACCCGUUCGUCACUGCAAGCAGUUUGCCGAGACAACCGGUUCAAAACACAGGCCGCGGUUUGAAUUGAGAGAGUUCCGUGGACCGACUGCAAAGCCAUGGUGUUAUUCCAGCAGCUGACGGAGGCGUCGCAGCUCCCGACGCCCGGUCGCAGCGACAUGCACAACCGUGAGGCCGUCAACCGAAGCCCGAUGUCGACGGCCACCCAAUGCGCAAGCAAGCUGCAAGCGCUCUUGGCCGGCCGCAGAAAUGCACCAAGCGAUGAGCUGAGGGCUCUGUUAAGAAAAUUUAGUUGCACGCUCGAAGCAAGCAUCUCGAGGACUGUAACCUCAAUGAGCGGCACAUUCUGCGCUGCUUACGUGCAGAACUUGGUUGAGCAGCAAGGUAGAAGCAUGGAUGCUGACCUCGCUCGCAGACAGCUUCAGAUGGGCGAGAUGUUGUUCUACAAGGCUCUGGAAAGCGUGGUCGUUGAAAUGAAGCAGCAAAAGCCAGACAGCGAUCUCUCGGUUUACCUCAGCAACAGUGCUUUCCAGAGGUCACUGUUUGCGUGCUGCCUGGAGAUUGUGAUGUUCUGCUACAACUCGCAACGAGAAUUUCCCUGGAUCUUGGAGGUGUUCUGUCUGAAGCCUUACAACUUCUACAAGAUCACUGAGCCUUUGAUCCGUGCUGAGAAAAGCUUGUGGCGAGAAGUCAUCAAGCACCUCAAUCAAAUUGAGGAGCAGAUCCUGGAGUCUCUCGCCUGGAAAGACGACUCUCCACUGUGGGAUGUACUGAGCCGCUCCCAGCAGAUUGUGCCCCAGUGUAAAGAGGUGUUUCCUCAGUGGCGAAUUGAAAUGUUUGAAGAAUCUGAGAAGAAUGAUGACAAUGAAACUCUCUCUUCUGUGGCACACCUUUCGCCAAGCAGAUCACGAAGCGACCAGAGCCACUUCAGGUCAAAUGAAACAGGGAGCUCUGCUGGUAGCUGUCAUGGUGAGAGAGCAGCAAGGGUAACUGCCAGCCCUGCACCGUCAUCACCCGAGGCGUCCAAAGAUAAACCUCCACGUUGCGACUCCCUGGCACUUUUUUUUCGAAAGGUCUAUCACUUGGCGGCCGUGCGCUUCUUGGACAUGUGCGAGAGACUGGGCAUUCAGAAGGACAUCCAGCACAAGAUCUGGACCUGCUUCGAGCACUCCCUCGUGGCGCACAUCGACCUGAUGAGGGACCGGCACCUCGAUCAACUGAUCUUGUGCGCGCUCUAUGUUGGCGCCAAGGUAACCAAAUUUGCCACCAAUUUCGAGACCAUCCUAAACUGCUACAGAGAGCAGUCUCACAAGAAAAGCCACGUGUAUCGCAGUGUUUACCUGAGACGGAAUGCAGGGCAUGAGGAACGAGGCGACAUCAUCAAGUUCUACAAUGAUGUCUACGUAAGCCGGAUGGCUGAAUUUGUCAAGAGCUUCCGUUCGGGUACAAAGAUGAAUGAGAUUGUUUGCCUGACGCCCCUGCCACGUGCCAAAUACAUGCUCAGCUCGCCGAAACGCCAGGUUUCGCCCAACAUAAAGCUCUUUGUGUCACCGCUGAAGGCUGACCACUUUGCGACACCUGAGCGCCACACUUACCACUUCAACCAAAGCCCAGCCAAGGAUCUCCUGAGGAUCAAUGAAACGGUUAGGACAUGCGUAGAUGUGGCGAGGAAGCGUAUCUUUGACGGUGAUGCCUUGGAGGACGAGCCAUCUGCCAAGAAGCAGGUGUUCUUCAAGAAAAUCGAGGCAUUUGUGAGGGAUCGCCAGGGUGUCCAAAACGGAGGUUGCAGCUCAGAAAAGUAGACGACUAGGAAGCAGGAGCAACCGCUCCUGCUUCUUUCGAGUGUUGAACUUUGAAGUUGUUGCUUCUGAGCCAGGGCUGGCACCCACGAAUCACACACGAAUCACCCUUGUUGCGAGCCUCGUGCGACAUUCUUUUUUUAUUUUCUUACGUAGUCUUAGUCAAAAGGUUUGGAGCCACUGCACACGUGACAAGAUCUGUUGUCGGGUCACAUACUGGUGCCUCGUGAAGAACACUUAUUACUCAUAAACCUUGGAGAUUGACAGUCAAACUGGUACUCGUACUCUUGAGAUUGCUCAAAGCAACAAACGUCACAGAAAUUUGGCAACAGAUUCUGCCAUGGAUGCAAUGAUCUUGGAACCUUUGGCAAGCACUGUACAAGGAGCACUACAGCAUGUGCAUGGCGGGACCAGCGUGUGGAUGACCCUGCUGGAGGGGGGGAUGUUUUUGUUGGCUCUGGAAUGAGGGCUUGAUGAGCAUUCAUGUGGCGUGCAGAAACCGUUGAGCUAUAUUUUUCUUUUUUGAAUGAGGAUCUUUGAUAGGUACAAGGUAACCCGUGUGGUGUGUGUGUGUGGGUGCAUUUGGAAGUUCGCAGUUUGGUGUACUGUCCGGUGUCUUUUUUGUUUGCUGUCAGGUGUUGUUUUGACUUCAGAAUGAGGAUCUGAUAAGUAUUCAUGUCGCUCACGUGGUGUAGAGUAUAUAGCUUACUAUUAAAGGGAACACCUAAUUGGUUUUAUACACCAGUUAUAGUUUUACACCAGUUAUAUGGAACACCCAUAUAACUGGAACAUGUUUAACUUCACAGGAAAGCAAGUGCUUGAUGUGGUGUGCUUGGUAGAUGUAUAUUGGUAAAAAAUUGUUGCCAAGGUCUUCGUGUCAAAACUGAGCAAUCGCUUGUGGAGGUAGGUCAAAGCAUACGGCCGACAACGCUCUUGGCACUGCGCGAAGAUAGCGAGCUUGUCGCAGCGCUGGACACACUGUCAGUCGUAUACACUGAUGCAUUUGGUGCUGAAUCACGCGAAAUCUCUUGAAGGUGAAACCACCUCUGAAGGUUAUCACCCAAGAGUACCGUCCCAGAAUACUAAUUUGGUGUUCACUUCGACAAUUAACUUUUGCUGUACAUCGCAGCCUGUGAGCAUAUGCGUGUGUGUGUGUUUUUGCAUGCUACAUCUCAGCAAUGAGGACUCUUGUAGUUUUUGUGUUCCCCAGUGCCGUUGGUGAAGGGCCAAAGGAAAGGCCUUUCUUUGUCUUUUUUUUCUUUGUGCGAGCUGAGGUGGUGAAGGAACUAGAAAGCAGUGUUGCCUGAAAUGCAGUUGCACUACUGACUCUUGAAGUGUUAAUGCAGUGCAUUUGUGCCACCAUGCAAGCACGCAAAACUUUUCAGUUUGUACUGUUGUGCACAGGGCUACUGUUUAUGACUUUGAUCUCUUUGCAUUUGCAAUAUGUGCUCGUUGUGCAAUGUUACCUUCUUCCUGGUGGUGCGGUUGUUGGCUUUGUUAUUCGGUGAAUCUUCAAAAGAUGCGGCCAUUGAUGAUCAUUUCAACAUGCAAAGUUUUUAUCAUAAUUAAUUGAAAUGCGCUGCUUGAGAGCUUCACCUUCCCCCACUUUUUUUUUAAUGUUUAGUUUAGGACCCUGAAGUUUUUAUUGUGCGUGCAGCCUUUUUCUGCACACAGAAAAAUGUAAACUGGUGCAGCAGCACAUUCUGCUACACAUUUUGAGCCUGUAUUUCUUGAGACUGGUGCCAGGCACAUAGUUUCAGCAAAUGGUUAUGCGUAAUGAACAGGCAGAGUUCAAUUCUGCUGUUCGAAUAUGCCCCCUAAAGUAUUAAUUAAACGGUGUAUUAGUGAAAUGGGUAAUUUAUGAUAGUAUGGGCAAUUAAUGAUUUUGAUGUCUGCCAUUGCUAAGAAUCAUGGGCACAAAAAUUGUCAUUUUUUUCUCGAAUCCUCAAUUUUUAACAAUCAGACACUGCUAUCUCCAGAAUGCCCAGUAUGAGAAUAUCAGACUGUUCUGAAGCAUGCAGGACUGGAGUCGACUGUUGCUGUGUUCGAAUAGGUGCAAUCACUUUCAUGUCUUAUCAUCCGUGAUGCAGCUUACAGGCUGGUGCAUUUUCGUGUGAAGAAGAUGUUUGAUCAAUGCAUUUCAAAGGAAUGUACAAUUUUGCUUUGCAUGCAACAAUGCUCUGCUGAGCUGUAAUGAUUAAUUUUGGGUAGUUUGCUUUGAAUGAUUUAGUUUUUUCUGAUCACAUACUAUUUGCCUAGUCAUUUUUGCAUCAUCAUGGACUCCUUUGGUUCACUCCGUUUCACCUUCAUCCUGAGCGUGGACUAACACUCCACAGAAAUUCCUGUGCUGGAUGACCUGUCUGCCUUUGUUUUGAUCAUCUAUGGUUUUCUAAAAUUGUCACCCUGCGAGAGUUUCCAGAGCAGGUGAUCGGUUCUUAUGUGCCUGUCCAAAGCACUUGAAUCGAGCUGCAGUAUGAGAAUAUUGCAGAUAUUUGCAACAGUCUAAAAUGCAUGUCUUGCCCUUUUGUACAAAGUGCGAGAGUAUGCAUAUCUGUGUCACAAUUUUUGCCAUGUGAGGAGUAGUAGUACAAAGGCAGGUGGGUUCGUGCAAGGUGCUUUUGUGUUUCAAGUUUGGCUGCACACACAGCAUUUGUGCUGCAUGUGACUCUUAUGCUAUGAAAACAAAUCUUACAAGCCAGCUACAACGAAAUUUUUGACCGUGUGGAAAACCUAUUUUUCGAUAGCUCAAGUAUAGAGCAACCUCCAUGAUCUUAGGUUGGAAAUAUGAGCAGAUGCGUGCAGAAAAACUGGAAAAAAAUGAAAAAGAAAGAAAGGAAGACAAAAAAUGUAGUCAUAAUUGUGUGGAGUAACGCUUAACCCGGAAUGUAGCUCUUCAGUAUGACUUCUGAGGUUCUGAGAUUGGGUGGUGGUCAUGGAUGAAAAAUCUUGAGACGAGUUGCUGGGGGUGUACAUAAUAGACAGUUUUAGUUUAGCGUUUUUACGCUCCGCUUAGCUGCUGAGCGGAGCGGAAGCACGAAAGCGCAUGCAUCCUCCGCUUAGCCGCAAGUGGGCUAGCGGAGCGAGAGAAAUGGUCCGCUUACAAGCUGCCUAAGCGGAGCGUUGCUGCCGUAUUUCGCUAGUGAGGGUGGUCGAUGCAUGCGCCCUCUCUCGCGCUUGCAUCGAAGCACUUUGCAUCGAGGUACUAGUCGUGCGAGCGUGACUAACUUGUGUAAUACACCUUCAACUGGCUAACUUGUGUAAUAUACCUCCAACUGGUUCUUUAAGGAAAUAAAGUGAACAGCACAGCUAACAAAAACGUCGCCAGCGCAUUGGCGUCUGAAAGGAUUGGAUUCGAAAUGCAACCUCGCUGGCUAUCACGUGGCGUUCACCAAGUCGAUGCUUCAUUUUCCACUCGAUAAAAUGGACCGGUAAUGCAUUACAAGCACCCGUCUAGAUACUUCAUCGACAAAUAAGUUAUUCAUCUUACUUUGACAAAGCGGUUUUUUGUUUUUGUUUCAAUACGCUCAAUUUGGCCAGAGGGCGCUGCAACUACGAAAGGUCCAGUCCGCUACGCUACCCGCAUAACUAAAACGUGACAAUCGCCUGCCGCUCCGCUGUAGCUUAGCGGCGCAACUCGGAGCGGAGCGGACCGUAAAGACGCUCAACUAAAACACACUAAUGUCUGCUAACCACCAGGUGCACGUAAUUUGCUUGAGGGCUAUUGUAAGGCUGCAAAUGAAAAAAACAUUCAAAAGUUGCCAGUCCUGUAGCUUUGCCAAGAUUCCUUCAGUACUGUAUGUACUACUAUUUUACAAUUAAUUUUGCCGAAGUAAAAUUUCAUUGCAGUUGGCCUUUAAGACAGCUGUGGCAUUCGCUGCCACAGGUUCGACAGUUCCUUCACGGGCAAGCAAAGUUGUGUUUGAUGUUUGCUUGUUUUCGCACAGUUUUAUGGUGUGUGGUCUAAAGAGUUGCGAUUUGCUUUACAACAGUCAGCUGCCUGUUUCCAUUUGGUGCUUUGUCAUCAUUAUGUGCUGGUGUAAUUCAAGUGUUGUUUGUGCUGUGAAUAAAGGAGUAGAUAAGUGCUCUGCCUUGCCAUGGGAUGUCUAAACACAUGCGCUAUCGAUACAGGACAGGUGUGAUGCAAAUGUUCUUUCCUUUUGAAUAUGGCAUACAAGUUCUGUGGAAGCUCAAAAGGUGGAGGAGCGAAAACUACCAGAAUGUUGCAUGAAUCUACAAAGGAAACCUGACAGUUUUCUCAGAAGGAAAGCUUUGUUGUUGAAUAAUUCAUCCCAGUUAAGUAUCACACAGAUCCCUGCCCUGGGGAGCUUUUCUUCAACUGAUGACCUGUCCCAUAAAUCAACUGGCCUAAAAAUACACCCCGGAUCAUGCAGCAUUGUAUUCUAGUGGAUGCAAAUUGCAUUCCAUUUUGAAUUUUAUUCACUGCCUUUUAUGGACAGUUCACGGAACAAUAAACAG